UACGUAGGGUGCAAGCGUUGUCCGGAAUUAUUGGGCGUAAAGAGCUCGUAGGCGGUCCGUUAAGACAGAUGUGAAAUCCCGGGCUUAACCUCGGGAACUGCAUUUGUGACUGGCGGACUCGAGUAUGGCAGAGGGGUAGAAUUCCACGGUGUAGCAGUGAAAUGCGUAGAGAUGUGGAGGAAUACCGAUGGCGAAGGCAGCCCCUGGCCAAUACUGACGCU
RNAcentral lists this ribosomal RNA (221 nucleotides) under uncultured bacterium. Its description in RNAcentral is "partial 16S ribosomal RNA". It matches the Rfam family "Bacterial small subunit ribosomal RNA", at positions 524 to 747 of the family's 1533-position model. The record is from RNAcentral.